Molecule: long non-coding RNA, 1142 nt
Filed under: Cyanistes caeruleus (blue tit)
Lineage: Eukaryota; Metazoa; Chordata; Aves; Passeriformes; Paridae
Description: lncRNA (ENSCCEG00000011619.1)
Source: RNAcentral
AGUAAGAGUGGCAGCAGAUGACCCUGAAUACAUGGCCAUCCGGGUUAGUUCAGCAUUGCCUCUUUUCUGCUUGGAGUAACAAAGUUACGAAGCUUAUUCAUAUGUGAAAGGUGCAACAAGGACGCCUUUCUCCACUGCAGGAUGCUGAAGUAAGUGUUGAUAAAAACAUCACACAUAAAAGAGAGCUUAAAUGAAAACAGAGACAAGAGGAUGCUGAACAGAGAAAAGAAGCUGGAUCAGGGAUCUGAUGGCUGACCAUGAACAGCUGUGCACAGGUAAUCCAGAUACAUGUUCAAAUGCCUAAACUCUCCAGGUUAGGUGUAUAUUUACCUGCACUGCUCAGAUAGAAAUUUGCAAAUGAGGUAUGUGUCCAUAAAUCACAAUCUUCUUCAGGUCAAAUGUUGUGGAAAUCUGACAAAUUAAAAAUUAUAUUCUUAGAAAGGAUGCUUUGACAAAACCUCUAGACAGGAUCUCAUAUUUAGCACAAAGCGCUAUUUCUGAAGCGAGCUCUCCUUAGCUGCAGAACCUUACUUGGAUCCCCUAAUUGCUUCUAUCUCUGGAGCUGGAAGGUGAAGGCACUUCUGAAGAGCUGCUGGUCACAGAAACACCACUAUUUUGUCAGUUUGACAGUGACUACUCCCCGUUCAUCUUCAUCUGCAUAAAACACUCUAUUCUGCAUCUCUUUUGCACAUGCUGUAAAUGCUCCUCCUGCAGCAGUAUUUCUGCUGUAUUCCUGCUAGAACCUUCUGCAGAAGCCAGACCUCUGGGCAUUCCUGAGACAGACUCAGAAGGGAAUUUUCUGAGUCAAAUUAGUAAGGGCAAAGGCCAGUAUUCUCACUUAAUGACAAGAAAUAUUCACCUGGAUUAGUACUGCCUACUUAACAGGAACCAACGGAGCAUCAAGAUUUGACCUCCUAUGACUUGGAUACUUUCUAAAUUGUAUUUUUAUGUCAGAAUGCUGCCAUGUUGCUCGUUAGAAGAGUAGGGACAAGUAAAAAUUUUUACAUUUUGGGGAGAGCUGCAACAGCAGCUGGAGCCAUUCUGCCUUGUCUUAUCCCGCAUUGCAAGCCUUCACAGAAAGCCAGAGAAAAUGAGCUGCCAAAAAAAAUACACUAAUAAAGCAGAUGAGUCCAUUAUUCCCA